ACUGAACGCUGGCGGAAUGCUUUACACAUGCAAGUCGAACGGCAGCACGAGAGCUUGCUCUUGGUGGCGAGUGGCGAACGGGUGAGUAAUAUAUCGGAACGUAUCCAAUAAUGGGGGAUAACUAAUCGAAAGGUUAGCUAAUACCGCAUACGCCUACGGGGAAAGCAGGGGAUCUUCGGACCUUGCGUUAAUGGAGCGGCUGAUAUCUGAUUAGCUAGUAGGUGAGGUAAAGGCUCACCUAGGCUUCGAUCAGUAGCUGGUCUGAGAGGACGACCAGCCACACUGGAACUGAGACACGGUCCAGACUCCUACGGGAGGCAGCAGUGGGGGAAAUUUUUGGACAAUGGACGCAAGUCUGAUCCAGCCAUUCCGCGUGCAGGAUGAAGGCCCUCGGGUUGUGAACUGCUUUGUUACGGAACGAAAAGGUUUCUAUUAAUACUA
Molecule: ribosomal RNA, 441 nt
Filed under: uncultured bacterium
Lineage: Bacteria
Description: bacterial SSU rRNA
Rfam family: Bacterial small subunit ribosomal RNA
Source: RNAcentral